This is a long non-coding RNA of Chinchilla lanigera (long-tailed chinchilla), 484 nucleotides long. RefSeq lists it as uncharacterized. The record is from RefSeq and is a predicted model, not a curated record. The transcript is spliced from 2 exons. Lineage: Eukaryota; Metazoa; Chordata; Mammalia; Rodentia; Chinchillidae.
UGCGCGCGGCGCCCUCGCGGACGUGGACUCGGCGGGCGAGACAGGUGGGGCGCGGCGCUUCUGAGCCCGACCCGGUGGCACGGCCAGCCUCGUCCUGCAGCUGAGGCCGGGACGCGAUCUCUGGCUCGUUUCUAACGUGGACAGGCUCGUUGGGAACAACGCAAAUACAGCCACUAACGUGAAAAUGGCAGCGAGUACCCGACAGCCUCCGCCAGAACUGCAUGAUUCAAGGACAAACGUGCACAUGAAGGGCUUUUAAAACGCUGCCCAGAGACAAGCGGAGAGAACGUCGCGCGCACACGCAAGGCGGGAGCAGAGGGACUUCCGGGGAGCGCGGAGGAGAGACAGGCUCGGCAGCGGGUGGGGACGGGGAAGGGGGCAGGGGGCUACAGCUCUGCUCCCAGGCCGGCGUGCCACUCCCGGGUGGGGCGCGUCCUUCCAAACACGAACCAAACCCAGACCUUCGAGGCCAUAGUCACAAGCA